Molecule: long non-coding RNA, 456 nt
Filed under: Physcomitrium patens
Lineage: Eukaryota; Viridiplantae; Streptophyta; Bryopsida; Funariales; Funariaceae
Description: long non-coding RNA (PPAT_LNC007800)
Source: RNAcentral
CUCUCCACUACAUUCCAAAUACUGUAGUUAUAGUAUUUAAUGCUACAUUUAUUGCUCUCAACAAAUUCAAUAAGAUCUAACCAUUCUCACACUCCCCAUUACUCCAGGUGUAAUCGUGUAUGUGUACUCCAGGUUACUCCAGGUGUAAUCGUGUAUGUGUACUCCAGGUUACUCCAGGUGUAAUCGUGUAUGUAUACUCCAGGUGACCGUGUAUCCAGGUGACCGUGUAGGUUUGGUCACCUUUCUGAGCAGGUGCAGUAUGCCACUGUAGAUAACAUUCACGAACAUGCAGCAAUACGUAUAAUCGUGGUACACAAUUCACAGAAGCGUAUUCGAGGUCCUGGGCUUGCCACAAAUGCAAUACAAAAUGGUAGCAAAUCAUCUCUAGAGGCACACUACACAAUGAGAUCAACAUAGAUUUCAGCAACCCUUGAGGUGUAAGAACCAUGUACACAG